RNA transcript from Neltuma alba, 2348 nucleotides. It is a transcript of the gene named serine/arginine-rich splicing factor SR30, with no coding region annotated. Lineage: Eukaryota; Viridiplantae; Streptophyta; Magnoliopsida; Fabales; Fabaceae. The record is from RefSeq and is a predicted model, not a curated record. The transcript has 14 exons.
AAAAAAAUGAGUAGCCGGUCCAGUCGCACCAUCUAUGUUGGCAAUCUUCCUGGUGAUAUUCGCUUGAGAGAAGUUGAGGAUCUUUUUUACAAGUAUGGUCCCAUCGUUGACAUCGAUUUAAAAAUCCCUCCAAGACCACCUGGUUAUGCUUUUGUCGAGUUUGAAGAUCCUCGGGACGCUGACGAUGCAAUUCAUUAUCGAGAUGGAUAUAAUUUUGAUGGUUUUCGUUUGCGGGUUGAGCUCGCGCAUGGUGGGCGGAGGUCUUCAUCAUCAGCUGAUCGCUACAGUACUUAUAGUUCUAGAGGUGGUAGCAAUGGAGUUUCCAGGCGCUCUGACUAUCGCGUUAUGGUCACUGGGUUGCCUCCAUCGGCUUCUUGGCAAGACUUGAAGGAUCACAUGCGUAGGGCUGGUGAUGUGUGUUUCUCUCAAGUCUUCCGUGAACGUGGUGGCAUGACUGGGAUAGUAGAUUAUACAAACUAUGAUGAUAUGAAGUAUGCUAUUAGGAAGCUUGAUGACUCAGAAUUCCGCAAUGCCUUCUCUCGUGCAUACAUACGGGUGAGGGAAUAUGAUCGGCGGAGUUAUUCUAGGAGUCCUAGCCGUGAUUCAAGGAGAAGCUACUCCAGAAGUCGCAGCCGCAGUCCUUACAUGGAACGAAGUCGAAGUCCUAGCUACAGUGACAGGAGUCGAAGCUCGUCUCCAAAGGCAAAACGUUCAUGGCGAUCAUUAUCAAGGCUGAAGUUUCUUAAUCAAAGAUGGGAUGCAGCAUGGCAGGCAGAAUCGUGAAGUACUCUCCCUAAUCUUUUUUAACGUAUUUACCUCCUUUGAUCUAUUUUAUUUUAUUUAAUUUUUUUUGGGGCGCAUAGCUGAGCCAUGUUGCUGCUCUUGUAAGUGGACGGACUUACAUGAACAUUUUUGUGCCGGCUAGGAAUGUUUGGUCGCUCUAAUCAUUGUUUGGCUAUUUGAUGUUGUACUGUGUCAAUCUUUUUGAUAGAAGAUUAACAGUCUGAAGUGCUGUGAUUGGAACUUUGCUAUUAUGUGUCCCCACCCCAUUAAGGAGAUUCGUACAAAGGUCUUUUAUGGCUUUAUUCAUACGAUCAAGGGUUUUACUUAUACUAUUGUCGUUAUUAAUAUAGCAUGUGUGGGUCUCCCCUUCUUUCUUUAAGUCGAAGUUGAGGGAAUAUUUCAUUUCCCUGUAAUUGUCUGAAAGUCGAUACUGUAAUUCCAUCCAUCCUUUCUAUCUCAUAAAACGUAGUGUUGUCCCAUGGGCAUGUUUGCACAAUUCUUCAUAUGUGCAAAGGUGAUCGGGGGAUUGUAGGGGGUCACAGGUUGAGCGCAAGCUAUACAAUGUUCAAUAGGGUUGACUUGUUUGUUUUCUAGAUGUGGAAUUUUACAGCGACCUGGGGACUGCAUGUUAGGAUCUUGAUGGCAUGUGGUGCUCAAAUGCCUGCAACUUUUUGGUCGAGGCACGGUGUGCCACUGUUGUAGACUGGAUGACUGUAGAUGGAUGAAUUGCAAUCUAAAAGGUGGAUCCCUGUGAACUAAGUGCUAGUGGUACCAUCCAUAGCAAAUCAGCAUUCUUUCAAUCCAAAAACUGCUUCAAUGCAACCUGCGCUCUAAGUUCUUGGAUUGAUCUUGUCCUUUCUCUAGGAUUUCUCUUAUUGUGCUGGCUUUGUUUAUAUACCUGCUCCUUACUGAGGAAUCAUGCGCUGCUGGGAAUGAAUUGUGUAGCAAUUGUUGAGACUAUAAAUAAGAGAUACUGUGCUCAAAUACUUUUUCCCUUGGCUGCUGCGUAAGACCCGUGCUAGAUCAAUUUCUUUCCCUUGGUCAUGGAUUCUGAUGUGAAACUGGUAGUGGGCUUGAGGAAUAAACAUUUUGGUGGGUUAUUCUGGAUAUUAAGCGGAUUUGUUUGUUCAAAAUUUUGCAGAUCUCUGUCAAGAUCCAGAUCUCCAAAUUCAUCUUCUCCGCGUCACAGGAGUCGCACUUUGAGCAGAAGUCCUAGAAGCUCAUCAAAAUCUCGUUCACCUUCAGUGAGAUCUGAGCGUAGCAGAUCUGUUGAAUCUGGAGAUCGUUGAUACAUUAAUGAGCAUACUCACUGUAAUGCUUCCGUUAAUUGAUAGGCGGGAACACUAUACCUGAGAUUCUUUUGUAGAAUCCAUUGGUUGUAACGCACAAUAUUGAUUAGUGAAAUAGAAACAUCAGAGGACACUCGAUAGGCUCCGUUUCUGAUGCCAUGAUUGGUCUAGUUUUUGUGCUGCGAUGCUUAGUAUCUACGCUCUGGAUUUUCGUAUUAUUUGUGUAUGGGAUUCAAUGCAGACUGUGAAGAUCUGGGUAAAGGUGUGCAAUGUGAU